This 253-nucleotide ribosomal RNA is filed under the name uncultured bacterium. RNAcentral's name for it is "partial 16S ribosomal RNA". It matches the Rfam family "Bacterial small subunit ribosomal RNA", at positions 524 to 776 of the family's 1533-position model. The record is from RNAcentral.
UACGGAGGAUCCAAGCGUUGUCCGGAUUUAUUGGGUUUAAAGGGUGCGUAGGCGGAUCAAUAAGUCAGUGGUGAAAUUCUGCAGCUUAACUGUAGACUUGCCAUUGAUACUGUUGGUCCUGAGUAUGGUCAAGGUAGGCGGAAUGUGUAAUGUAGCGGUGAAAUGCUUAGAUAUUACACAGAACACCGAUUGCGAAGGCAGCUUACUGGGCCAUUACUGACGCUGAUGCACGAAAGCGUGGGGAUCGAACAGG